This 498-nucleotide ribosomal RNA is filed under the name uncultured bacterium. Its description in RNAcentral is "partial 16S ribosomal RNA". It matches the Rfam family "Bacterial small subunit ribosomal RNA", at positions 28 to 507 of the family's 1533-position model. The record is from RNAcentral.
GACGAACGCUGGCGGCGUGCCUAAUACAUGCAAGUCGAACGAAGAGAGGCGGAGCUUGCUCCUCUUACGUUAUCGUGGGACGGGUGAGUAACACGCGUAUACACUCUCUCUUUGACUGGGAUAACUUAGUUGGAAAGGAGCUCAUAUAGCGCAUUCUAUUUAACCGCGUCAUUCAGUAGAGAUAGACGGUUGUGCUGACACUUAAGCAUGGAUUGGCGUCUGAUUAGCUAGUUGGUGAGGUAACGGGCUACCAAGGCGACGAUCAGUAGCCGGUCUGAGAGGAUGAACGGCCACAGUGGGACUGAGACACGGCCCAGACUGCUACGGGAGGCAGCAGGGGGGAAUCUUCCGCAAUGGACGAAAGGCUGACGGAGCAACGCCGCGUGAGUGAUGACGGCCUUCGGGUUGUAAAGCUCUGUUAAUCGGGACGAAAGGACUUCUUGCGAAUAGUGAGAAGGAUUGACGGUACCGGAAUAGAAAGCCACGGCUAACUACGUG